UCUACUAAAAUUAUAAAAAUUAGCCAUCCGUGGUGGUAGGCGCAUGUAAUCCCAGCUACUCAGGAGGCUGAGGCAGGAGAAUCGCUGGAACCCAGGAGGUGGUGGUUGCAGUGAGCCAAGAUCAUAUCACUGCACUCCAGCCUCGGCGUCAGAGUGAGACACUGUCUCAAACAAACAAACAAACAAAACCAGAGAUGGAGUUUUGCCAUGUUUCCCAGGCCAGUCUUGAACUCCUGAGCUCUAGCGAUCUGCCUUCCUUGGCCUCCCAAAGUGAUGGGAUUCUAGGUGUGAGCCAUGGUACCCAGCCCAUUUUCUAUUUUCUCAUCACUGCUUCCAACUUCCUUCAGUUCCUUAGCCCUAUCUAGGGCAGAUUCAUCACUUUGGCGUGGUAAAACUCAGGCCAGCCCUGUUUCAAGCCCCACUCACAUAUCAGGUUCGCAGUGCUUUACCUCCUCUUCCCAGCACAACUGAGGCACUCACCCUGCUUGCUGGGAGAAUGAGGAGAUUGGGGAGUGGGCAUGGUCUAGUUCAGUGAUACCUCCUGCCUCUUUUCUUUUCAAGGCCUCACUUCCUAGCUGCCAUGGAGUGGACAGGAGGAAUGGAAGGACAAGGAAGAAGGCAGCAGAGGUCUCUUAAUGUGGCUGGCUAGAGGUCCAAGACCUGUUUGUUGAAAUGGAGUCUUCUGCUGGCAAAUCAUCACAUAGAAAAAGAGGUACUCAGGAGGCCGAGGCAGGAGAAUCACUUGAACCCAGGAGGUGGAAGUUGCCCAGGAGGUGAGCUGAGAUCGCACCACUGCACUCCAGUCUGGGCAACAGAGCAAGACUCCAUCAAGUCUCCUGCCACUCCAGAAAACUACUCCACAAAGGUACCUUCAGCACAACAGUUAGUAUUAUUGUUACUGUUUUUUAAUAUGGAACACUUCACGAAUUUACACGUCAUCUUUGCACAGGGUCAUGCUGAUUUUCUCUGUAUAUUCCAAUUUUAGUGCAUCUUCUGCAGAAGCAGGCACAGUAUAGGUUAUUAAUAUUGCAGGCUGACUAGAAUACAAUGUGGCCAUUAAUUUUCACUACUUCCUCUCUGGGUACUGGUGGCCAGGGUACUUUUCCUGCUAGAAUCUCAUUCUCUGCCUUUCCUGUGGUAAUGUCCCAUGUUAUUCUGUGAGCCUCACUGGCCAGGUAGGGAACACUGGAUAGGGAACCUUGCUGUGCUGGAGCUGGCCAGGUGCCCCUCCUCUGUGUCUCUACUUGCCCCGUGUGUUUUCUAUCACUCAUUUACACACCAGUUGAUAGUACUUAGCCCAGGAGGCAGUAUAUAGUAAACUCUUAGGAAAUGUGAACUUAAUUAAUUCACAAGCAAAACCUUUGAGUUCGUGUCAUCUUUCUUUUAGAUUGCACUUGUUACCACAAUGCUGGGCUGUAGUGUAGACCUCCCUUGCUAUCAAACUCAUUCUUCCAAAAGGAGAGUACAUGGGAAGGUGGAAGGACUUCCCAUGUGCCAGGAAAUGGUUGGCUCUAAUCUUAGAAAAUGAACUAGGGGCCAGGCACCGUGGCUCACACCUGUAAUCCCAGCACUUUGGGAGGCCAAAGUGGGCGGAUCACCUGAGGUCAGGAGCUCAAGAUCAGCUGGCCAACAUGGCGAAACGCCAUCUCCACUAAAAAUCCAAAAAGUGGCUGGGCAUGGUGAUGCAUGCCUGUAAUCCCAGUUACUCGGGAGGCUGAGACAGAAUUGUUUGAACCGAGGAGGUGGAGGUUGCAGUGAGCUGAGAUGGCACCACUGGACACCAGCCUGGGCAACAGAGCAAGACUCCGUCUCAAAAGAAAGAAAAUGAACUUGGGUUCUUCAGCCAUUAUUAGAGCCUCGGGAGAACAAGAAAUAUGGCAGUUGUAUCCAGAGACCAACGAAAUGUUGUCAAACACGUCUACUAGGGCCUGUCUGACAUUUCAACUGCCUGCAAGAACCACUGCCACAGCCCAAAGGGGCCUCAAUCGGCCAUCCAGCCAGACUCAGUCUUCCAAGGCAGCUGUACCUGCUGUCACACCGUCCAGGAGACAGACGUUCUGUACGGAGGAAAUACCAGCAGGCUCACUCAGUACUGAAUCCUUGCAUAGGGCGCCCUUGAUCAGCUACUCUUUUAUUAAAUGACAGAGUCAUAAAGUUUUUUUUCUUUUUACCAAAAUGGCAUUAUUUUUGCCUUUGUGUUACUGUGCAAAUGCUCUAAGAAAUAGAUAUGUCUGUUGAGCCUGUUACAAGGACAAAUAUUAUAGUUUUAGAAACCAGGGGCAUUGUUAGAACUGUUAGAAACAAGAAAAAACGAAAACACUGGCUGGACAGAAGCGUAAAACUAUCUCACCUUUAUACUCAGACAUUAGAAUACCAUUCCUGGACUUCACACUUUAGAAAGCCCCAUAUUGCAAACGUACAGAUACAAAAUCACUAAAGAACAACAGGCACCUAUGGGUUGCUUGGAUCUGGUGAGCGGUGCUGGUGCAGCGUGAUCCACAGCCUUCAACAUGGGCACUUGUGACUAACACUGUUCAGGACCCCUCCUGGGUUCAAGCAAUUCUCCUGCCUCAGCCUCCCGAGUAGCUGGGACUACAGGUGUGUGCCACUAUGCCCAGCUAAUUUUUGUAUUUUUAGUAGAGACGGGGUUUCACCAUGUUGACCAGGAUGGUCUCGAUCUCUUGACCUCGUGAUUCACCCGUCUCGGCCCCCCAGCGAUUUUUGGAUUCUUCAGAGGCAAGCACUGACUUAAGAUGUGGGAAGAUUUUGAGCAGCCCAGGUGCUUGGUAAUAAAAAGGACUAAUUAAUUAGCAUGUUGAUUCCUACUCUCAGAGAACAGAAAUAAAUUGAUUUUUGCAUAACAAAACACAUUUCCCCACUUUUUCUUUUUCUUUUUUUCUUUUUUUUUUUUUUGAGACAGAGUCCCGUUCUAUCACCUAGGCUGGAGUGCAAUGGCGUAAUCUCAGCUCACUGCAACCUCUGCCUCCCAGGAUCAUGCAGUUCUCCUGCCUCAGUCAAAUAGCUGGGAUUACAGGCGCCCACCACCACGCCUGGCUAAUUUUUGUAUUUUUGGUAAACACAGAGUUUCACCAUGUUGGCCAGGCUGGUCUCAAACUCCUGACCUCCGAUGAUCCGCCCCCUCAGACUCCCAAAGUGCUGGGAUUACAGGUGUGAGUCACCGCAGGCCACAUUUUCCCACUGUAUUGAUUGUCCGAUUCCUGAUUCUGGAGAUACUCCCAAAUCAGUGCAAUAUUUGCAACAGUUGUAAAUAAUGUUUCGCAGCUGUGCCUGGUAGCUCACGCCUGUAAUCCCAGCACUUUGGGAGGCCAAGGCACGAGGACUGCUUGAGCCCAGGGGCUCAAGACCAGCCCGGGCAACAUACUGAGACUGUCUCUUCCAAAAUUUCAAAGGUUAAAUUAAAUUAAAAUAUGUUUUGCAAUAGU
Molecule: long non-coding RNA, 3443 nt
Organism: Callithrix jacchus (white-tufted-ear marmoset)
Lineage: Eukaryota; Metazoa; Chordata; Mammalia; Primates; Cebidae
Source: RefSeq, a predicted model, not a curated record